UCAUUAUGAUGAUACCCCAAAGGUUUCGCAAUCAUCUGAUACAAAUUCCCAGUGAUGAUAAAACCUUGGCUGUCUGAAAUGA
This is a small nucleolar RNA of Musca vetustissima, 82 nucleotides long. RefSeq annotates it as small nucleolar RNA SNORD53/SNORD92. The record is from RefSeq and is a predicted model, not a curated record. NCBI's taxonomy places the organism in Eukaryota, Metazoa, Arthropoda, Insecta, Diptera, Muscidae. The transcript has a single exon.